AAUAGAUACCCGGGUAGUCCACGCCGUAAACGAUGAGUGCUAGGUGUUAGGGGGUCCAACCCUUAGUGCCGAAGUUAACACAUUAAGCACUCCGCCUGGGGAGUACGGCCGCAAGGCUGAAACUCAAAGGAAUUGACGGGGGCCCGCACAAGCGGUGGAGCAUGUGGUUUAAUUCGAAGCAACGCGAAGAACCUUACCAGGUCUUGACAUCCCUCUGACCUCUCUAGAGAUAGAGAUUCCCCUUCGGGGGCAGAGGUGACAGGUGGUGCAUGGUUGUCGUCAGCUCGUGUCGUGAGAUGUUGGGUUAAGUCCCGCAACGAGCGCAACCCUUGAGAUUAGUUGCCAGCAUUCAGUUGGGCACUCUAAUCUGACUGCCGCAGACAAUGCGGAGGAAGGUGGGGAUGACGUCAAAUCAUCAUGCCCCUUAUGACCUGGGCUACACACGUGCUACAAUGGAUGGUACAAAGGGUUGCGAAGCCGUGAGGUGGAGCCAAUCCCAUAAAGCCAUUCUCAGUUCGGAUUGU
RNAcentral lists this ribosomal RNA (524 nucleotides) under uncultured bacterium. RNAcentral's name for it is "bacterial SSU rRNA". It matches the Rfam family "Bacterial small subunit ribosomal RNA", at positions 777 to 1301 of the family's 1533-position model. The record is from RNAcentral.